GCUUUGCUCUUACUUAACUGCAAGAGAGGGCUUAGGCUUAGGCUCACACUUUCUUUGCCAGCUCUAUCUUCCGCCAUCUCGUUUCGAGUGUCAGUCUCCUGAGUCUCCCGCGUCUCUAUUGUCUGCUGCUAAGCCUUCUAGAAUCCUUUGGAGGUGCUUGCCCAGCUCUUGGGAUAACAGAAAAGGACAAUAAGACAAAGCACAGCAUGUUAUCCUUUAAAUUGAAGGGCAAUUGACGAGAGAAAAGGCCCUCACAGAGUGGCAAAAGUGUGGAAGCUGCUGAUUACAUAACUGUUAUGUAAGAGGGUGGGAGAGAGCACUCUCACACUCGGAAGCUGACGCAGAGAGCAGCAAUGUGUAAAUGUCAAAGGGCAGUGACGUAGACGGCCAAAACCGAAAGGGAUAUUAACGUGAAGCCAACUUUUUUGCCAUGGAGAUGGAGCCCACUGUUCAGAAAUCACUGCCAUGGUCCCUUCCUUCAUCUUCAUCUCCUUCAUCGCCGAAUAUCUCGCUCUGACGAGAGCAGGAAGAGCAGAGCCCUAACCUUACACUGACCUUGAAGCGGAGCAAGAGAAGCAGCUGCUGUGGUCUGCAGUGGAGCACCAGAUAGAGGGCGCGCUGAGAGAGGGGCGGAGGAGGAGUGGAAAUAGCGAAACGAGAUUCCGACUGAAGCACAGGCCAUAAAAUAGUCAUCGACAAACCCGGCGACGGGGGUAGGGGUAGGAGAGCUUUGUGUGUGUCGGCAAACAUACACAUUCACAUACACAGUAGAACUUCGAGAACGACAAGAGCGAGAAGUAUGCGGCAGGCGGCGAAGAAAGCCACAGUGCCGGCCAUUCGAAUAAGUGCAGUCUGAUUUCAAUUUGUGAAUGGAAGCACCAUAAAUUUAAAAUUGAUUUCCAAUCAAUAAAGUUAACCUAAUCAAUCAA
Drosophila miranda is the source of this 929-nucleotide long non-coding RNA. RefSeq lists it as uncharacterized. Lineage: Eukaryota; Metazoa; Arthropoda; Insecta; Diptera; Drosophilidae. The record is from RefSeq and is a predicted model, not a curated record. The transcript is spliced from 2 exons.